ACGAACGCUGGCGGCAUGCCUAACACAUGCAAGUCGAACGGUGUCCCCGCCUCGGCGGGGGCAUAGUGGCGCACGGGUGAGUAACGCGUGGGAACCUGCCCCGUGGUACGGAACAACUCCGGGAAACUGGAGCUAAUACCGUAUGUGUCCUGCGGGACAAAGAUUGUAUCGCCAUGGGAUGGGCCCGCGUAGGAUUAGCUAGUUGGCGGGGUAACGGCCCACCAAGGCGUCGAUCCUUAGCUGGUCUGAGAGGAUGAUCAGCCACACUGGGACUGAGACACGGCCCAGACUCCUACGGGAGGCAGCAGUGGGGAAUAUUGGACAAUGGGCGCAAGCCUGAUCCAGCAAUGCCGCGUGAGUGAUGAAGGCCUUCGGGUUGUAAAGCUCUUUCGCACGCGACGAUGAUGACGGUAGCGUGAGAAGAAGCCCCGGCUAACUUCGU
RNAcentral lists this ribosomal RNA (442 nucleotides) under uncultured bacterium. RNAcentral describes it as "bacterial SSU rRNA". It matches the Rfam family "Bacterial small subunit ribosomal RNA", at positions 29 to 506 of the family's 1533-position model. The record is from RNAcentral.